Molecule: ribosomal RNA, 687 nt
Filed under: uncultured bacterium
Lineage: Bacteria
Description: bacterial SSU rRNA
Rfam family: Bacterial small subunit ribosomal RNA
Source: RNAcentral
UGGGAUAACACCUGGAAACAGAUGCUAAUACCGGAUAACAACACUAGACGCAUGUCUAGAGUUUGAAAGAUGGUUCUGCUAUCACUCUUGGAUGGACCUGCGGUGCAUUAGCUAGUUGGUAAGGUAACGGCUUACCAAGGCAAUGAUGCAUAGCCGGGUUGAGAGACUGAUCGGCCACAUUGGGACUGAGACACGGCCCAAACUCCUACGGGAGGCAGCAGUAGGGAAUCUUCCACAAUGGACGAAAGUCUGAUGGAGCAACGCCGCGUGAGUGAAGAAGGGUUUCGGCUCGUAAAGCUCUGUUGGUAGUGAAGAAAGAUAGAGGUAGUAACUGGCCUUUAUUUGACGGUAAUUACUUAGAAAGUCACGGCUAACUACGUGCCAGCAGCCGCGGUAAUACGUAGGUGGCAAGCGUUGUCCGGAUUUAUUGGGCGUAAAGCGAGUGCAGGCGGUUCAAUAAGUCUGAUGUGAAAGCCUUCGGCUCAACCGGAGAAUUGCAUCAGAAACUGUUGAACUUGAGUGCAGAAGAGGAGAGUGGAACUCCAUGUGUAGCGGUGGAAUGCGUAGAUAUAUGGAAGAACACCAGUGGCGAAGGCGGCUCUCUGGUCUGCAACUGACGCUGAGGCUCGAAAGCAUGGGUAGCGAACAGGAUUAGAUACCCUGGUAGUCCAUGCCGUAAACGAUGAG